Helianthus annuus (common sunflower) is the source of this 646-nucleotide long non-coding RNA. RefSeq lists it as uncharacterized. The transcript is spliced from 2 exons. NCBI's taxonomy places the organism in Eukaryota, Viridiplantae, Streptophyta, Magnoliopsida, Asterales, Asteraceae. The record is from RefSeq and is a predicted model, not a curated record.
CAUUUAUAUACAAAGUUGUCUCAAUGUAUGGGCUCUCAGUUUUUCAAACCCAGACCACAAAUGAAGAACAAAUCCCCAAAAGGAUUCUCCUUGAAUAUUACCCUUACCACUGCCAGACACCAACAUUCAUUGGCAACUGAUGAUCUUGGAAGAACAUCCUCAAUAUGGAAAUGUCGAAGUAUAGAUAAGGCCAAACGAAUAGGGACUUCAGGAUUUUGUGACCCUCUAUGAUGCUCACAAUGAUGCAUAUUAUGACAAAAACAUGCCAAGUGAAAUAAUCUGGUAAAAGCACAUGGAAUGCAAAAUGUGGAGAAAGUAUUCCUGUAAAUAUGAAUACAGCUUUGAAGAAGAUGAAUUUCAGGAUUUUACGACCUUCCAGGUGUCGUAAAUCACUUGUUUGAGAAAACAACCAUAGCGCUGCAACAAAAUUUAUUACCAAUGUUGCUAAGCAAAGUCCCAUGUGUGUCUUGUUUUGUUGAGUAUGUUCGGUGGUCAUCUGGACAACGGUUCCCACUAGCAUCGCCUCAAUCGCUAUAAAAAUAGCAUACAUUGCCAUGUUGAAUGACCUGGAACAACUAUUCUAGUUAAUUCAUGACAUACAUAUAGAAAAAAAAAACAGAAGAUUCUAUGAAAAGUAAAACAAAAG